AACGCAAGUUGCGCCCUAAGCCGUCAGGCCGAGGGCACGCCUGCCUGGGUGUCACGCAUCGUCGUCCCCCCCACCCUUUGCAACUCUGCUCGGGUGAACAAGGAGACGGAUAUUGGUCUCCCGCGUGUUGCCGCACGCGGUUGGCCCAAAUCUAAGCCAAGGGCACGGAGCGUCCUGACUAGCGGUGGUGUAAGAUGCCUCGUUGUAAAGUCGGAUGUUUGCGUCUCAACAUGGUUUCAUGACCCUACGCGAGUCACAAAGCUGACUCUCCAUACGCGACCCCAGGUCAGGCGGGAUCACCCGCUGAGUUUAA
RNAcentral lists this unclassified non-coding RNA (313 nucleotides) under uncultured fungus. RNAcentral's name for it is "partial contains 5.8S ribosomal RNA, internal transcribed spacer 2, and large subunit ribosomal RNA". Lineage: Eukaryota; Fungi. The record is from RNAcentral.